Molecule: small nuclear RNA, 101 nt
Filed under: Amborella trichopoda
Lineage: Eukaryota; Viridiplantae; Streptophyta; Magnoliopsida; Amborellales; Amborellaceae
Source: RNAcentral
AGAAACUUUGGUUUUGAAAACACAAAAUAUAAAAUAAACUAAAGAAGACAUGGCCCCUACGCAAGGAUGACAUGCACAAUCGAGAAAUGGUCCAAAAUUUU